This 324-nucleotide long non-coding RNA is filed under the name Fragaria vesca (wild strawberry). Its description in RNAcentral is "long non-coding RNA (FVES_LNC000070)". The record is from RNAcentral. Lineage: Eukaryota; Viridiplantae; Streptophyta; Magnoliopsida; Rosales; Rosaceae.
AAUUGAUCCUCCCCAUGGAAGACACUUGAAUGGCUAUAGGUCUCCUCCUCGUGGCUGGGCUAGAGAUGGCCCUAGAGAGUUUGGUGCUGGGCUGCCACCUCCAAGGCACGAAGACAGGUUCCCUGACCACCAAAUGCGAAGAGAUUGGUUGGAUUACUCAGACAACCAUAGAGGAAGAACCAAGUUUGACAGGCCAAUACCUAUGGAUAGGGGAAAUAGAGAUCGCGGGAGGGAUAGUUUCUUUGAAAGGAAAGCAUUUGAAAGGCGACCACUGUCUCCCCCUUCACCACCACCACCACUUCCUCCUUACCGUGGCCGAUGGGC